GAUGAAGAACGUAGCGAAAUGCGAUAAGUAGUGUGAAUUGCAGAAUUCCGUGAAUCAUCGAAUCUUUGAACGCACAUUGCGCCCCCUGGCAUUCCUAGGGGCAUGCCUGUUCGAGCGUCAUUAACAACCAUCAAGCGGGAUCUGUCUGCGCCCGCUUGGCCAUGGGGGAUGGCCGCCCUUCGGGGCGUCCACCCCGGAAAUGCAACGGCGGACAGCCACCAGGGGCACCGGGGCGUAGUAAGUUAUUCUUUCGCCCUGCACCCACGGAUGGACUGCCCAGCCAACUUGAACCCCCACAUCCUAUGGUUGACCUCGGAUCAGGUAGGGAUACCCGCUGAACUUAAGCAUAUCAAUAAGCGGAGGA
This 364-nucleotide unclassified non-coding RNA is filed under the name soil metagenome. RNAcentral's name for it is "partial contains 5.8S ribosomal RNA, internal transcribed spacer 2, and large subunit ribosomal RNA". The stretch from base 1 to 120 matches the Rfam family "5.8S ribosomal RNA", at positions 35 to 154 of the family's 154-position model. The record is from RNAcentral.